This 253-nucleotide ribosomal RNA is filed under the name uncultured bacterium. RNAcentral describes it as "partial 16S ribosomal RNA". It matches the Rfam family "Bacterial small subunit ribosomal RNA", at positions 524 to 776 of the family's 1533-position model. The record is from RNAcentral.
UACGGAGGGUGCGAGCGUUGUCCGGAAUCACUGGGCGUAAAGGGCGCGUAGGCGGCUUCUUAAGCGUGCGGUGAAAGCUCGGGGCUCAACCCCGAGUCGGCCGUGCGAACUGGGGAGCUCGAGCACUGUAGAGGCAGGUGGAAUUCCGGGUGUAGCGGUGGAAUGCGUAGAGAUCCGGAAGAACACCGGUGGCGAAGGCGGCCUGCUGGGCAGUGGCUGACGCUGAGGCGCGACAGCGUGGGGAGCAAACAGG